Molecule: non-coding RNA, 1049 nt
Organism: Siniperca chuatsi (mandarin fish)
Lineage: Eukaryota; Metazoa; Chordata; Actinopteri; Centrarchiformes; Sinipercidae
Source: the annotation of a RefSeq genome assembly
AUAAACUGAAAGCCAAGUCCAAUCUAGGUCUCUCCUCCCUGUGAGGAGGAGUCAAUGCAAAACUCAGAUGUCUUCCACCUCUACUUAUCUGACUGCAGAGAGGACGACAGAGAACAGUGGACACACAGUUUAACAUGAUGGACUAUAGGACAGGACUGCUGCUUUUAACUCUCUGCUGGGCAGGUGUUGAUGGUCAGACUCUGACAGAAUCGGAACCAGUGGUUAAAAGGCCUGGAGAAUCUCACAGAUUGACCUGUACAGCCUCUGGAUUCACAUUCAGCAGCUACUGGAUGCAUUGGGUCAGACAGGCUGCUGGAAAAGGACUGGAGUGGGUCGCAGCUGAUGGUGGUGGUAGUGGCAAAUACUACUCUCAGUCAGUUCAAGGCCGGUUUACCAUCUCCAGAGACGACAGCAGACAGCAGCUGUAUCUGCAGAUGAACAGUCUGACGACUGAAGAUUCUGCUGUUUAUUAUUGUGCUCGAGAGCCACAGUGACUGGAGUUGGUUGAGCAGCUGUACAAAAUCCUACAGGACUCAUCGUUCAGGCUAGUAGAGCCCAAACAUGAAGUUUUUUUAUAGUAUUUAUAUUGUAUACUAUGUGUUUUUUUUAAUGUUUUAUUUUUUUACAUAGCUUUUUAUUUAUUUUUAUUCCAUAUGUUUAAAUGCAUAUAUAUUUUUUAAAUAAUGCAUUAUACAAAGUCCUGAAAACCUUUCCUGAGAAAAAUUAUUAUAGAACAAACAAUUAAAAAACCACAAUAAAGAUUACUUGUUCUUAAAAGGGCCAUAGACAGCACAACAAUCUGGUUGCUGAAAUUGAACUACUACAAAUACUAAACAUUUCUACAAAUUAAGACUCAAUAAUGUCUUAAUUUGUAGAAAUUUGAGUACCACUGAUGUAACAGACUCAUUUUGCUCUAUAAUACAAACCAACUGAAAGUAAUAUAACAAUCCAAAACAACAAACUGUAUGUUAUUUGAUUUAGACUGUUAUUUUAUUUCUGACACAACCACACAGAUGAAGGUCAAAUGUGUUGAUCAUUACGAAAAGUAA